GAUGAAGAACGCAGCGAAUUGCGAUACGUAAUGUGAAUUGCAGAAUUCAGUGAAUCAUCGAAUCUUUGAACGCACAUUGCGCCCUUUGGUAUUCCUUAGGGCAUGCCUGUUCGAGCGUCAUUUAAACCUUCAAGCUAAGCUUGGUGUUGGGUGACUGUCCGCUUCACGGCGGACUCGCCUCAAAAUUAUUGGCGGCCGGUACAUUGGCUUCGAGCGCAGCAGAAACGCGAACUCGGGCCCGUCGUAUUGGCUCCCAGAAGCUAUCUUCACAAUUUUGACCUCGGAUCAGGUAGGGAUACCCGCUGAACUUAAGCAUAUCAAUAAGCGGAGGA
This 332-nucleotide unclassified non-coding RNA is filed under the name soil metagenome. Its description in RNAcentral is "partial contains 5.8S ribosomal RNA, internal transcribed spacer 2, and large subunit ribosomal RNA". The stretch from base 1 to 120 matches the Rfam family "5.8S ribosomal RNA", at positions 35 to 154 of the family's 154-position model. The record is from RNAcentral.